CACCAGCGCCUUGACCCGGGAAUCCACCGACGGGUGGGUCGCGAACAGGUCGGCGAAGCCUUCGCGCGGAUUGUCGAUGCACAUUUCCAUGACGGCGGAGGUCGCGCCCGGCAGUUCGCCGCGGCCCUCGAUCUUGCGCAGCGCUGAGAUCAUCGCGUCAGGGCAUCGGGGUCUUUUGUGAGUUCGACGGAGCCCGCGUCGGCCAGCAGUUCGCGCGAGCGCGACAGGGCAAAGCGCAC
Molecule: unclassified non-coding RNA, 239 nt
Filed under: Hevea brasiliensis (rubber tree)
Lineage: Eukaryota; Viridiplantae; Streptophyta; Magnoliopsida; Malpighiales; Euphorbiaceae
Source: RNAcentral